This 253-nucleotide ribosomal RNA is filed under the name uncultured bacterium. Its description in RNAcentral is "partial 16S ribosomal RNA". It matches the Rfam family "Bacterial small subunit ribosomal RNA", at positions 524 to 776 of the family's 1533-position model. The record is from RNAcentral.
UACAGAGGUCUCAACCGUUGUUCGGAUUCAUUGGGCGUAAAGGGUGCGUAGGCGGCGCGGUAAGUCGGGUGUGAAAUCUCGGAGCUUAACUCCGAAACUGCAUUCGAUACUGCCGUGCUUGAGGACUGGAGAGGAGACUGGAAUUUACGGUGUAGCGGUGAAAUGCGUAGAUAUCGUAAGGAAGACCAGUGGCGAAGGCGGGUCUCUGGACAGUUCCUGACGCUGAGGCACGAAGGCCAGGGGAGCAAACGGG